UUCAGCCGGCUCAGGGUUCGUUCAUUGGCUCAACUCAAUAGUGGCCGCGUAUCAGCCAUCUUCCUACACUUGGUGUCAGCUCUCUGUCUUCUCCGCUGGUGCUGGUCAUGCUCUACCAAUACUAGAGAACGAUCUUUUUGGAUUGGGUAAUGCACUCACCUGCCAACAAGGUGAAGAUGAGACUCAGCCGGGACAUUGCAGCACACAGACUCCUUGGUCCAGUCUGGCAAAUGGUUUAUAUAUUGCCCAUUGUGGGGAGGAAGGGGAAUUCCAGUGGCGUUAUCCAUAGUGCAAGUCAUCAGUUGAAGGACAAACAGACUCACAAUUGUCUUAAUGGAGGAGGAGCUUGGACGUAUAACUGGCACCUGAUUGGCUUGUGGACUACAGAUUUACCAAUCAGGGGACAGUGAGACACAUUUAUAUGGCUUUUUCAAAAGUGAUUGGCUGACCUGUGUUCAACCAAUCACAUUUGAAAGGUACAUUCUCACAGAAGCAAAUACUGACAGUAUGGUUCAUUUAUACAUGCAUUAGUCUUGGAUUUGUUUAAAGCAGACCAAGAAAACCUAAUUACAAAGUUUUCACUGAGUACAUCUCUAAUCUCUGGAUGGAAUCCCAACCAAAUCUUGACUACUAAAUGGCAUCAAGUUGGUUAAGGGAAACGUACACACCAGGGAAUAUUUGAGCCCACAGACAGAAUUAGGAUCUUUGCUGUUACUCCCUCAUGGAAACCCAGGCCUCAAAUAGCAAAUUGAAAUGCUGCUCAAAAUGUAUUUGUCAAAUUUUCUAGAAAAUUCUUAUUAAAAAUAAAUAAUGUAAAUAAAACUUCAAGGCUCUAUAAUUCCCAAAAUAUUAAACAAAUUAGGUAAAAACAGAGUUUGUGCAUUUUAAGCUUUUACAGAUUAUACAAUCAGUGUCUAAUAUCAUUGAAUAAAAAGCUUUCUUUACAGGAUAAAGUAUCACAGAUACUUGUAUUAUGCACCAACACUACUCUCAACAAAUGGAAGAAUCUGAGUGCCUGAAAUAUUUUAUAUCAAACUGAUUAGCUUCACAGAUUAUGUGUAUCACAGGUGCCUGUCAUUUAGUGAGCUAAUGAAUGAGUUAGGCAAUGGCAACCUGCAUUGUUGUGAAAUUAAUAGUGCUUCCCACAGAUUAGUGGUUGAUAAUCUCAUAAAUGCAGGAGUUGCUCUUAAUUUUAACCUGAAUCACUCAGUCUCUUCAUCUAUAAACUUAUUUGAAGUGAAUGUAGGUAAGUGGGGAGUAAAGGAUAACAGCUGAAUGGUCAUGAAUAGAUGAUAGUCCAAUUGAUUUUUCACUUCAGAUCCUACAUUUCCCUAUGUACAAUAAUAGCCACUAUUCUUUCUUGCAUGUAUGUCAUAAGAGGAAGUGAGUCUUAUCUCAUUCAUCUCCAGUAAAAAAGAGAAAAAAAGUUCCAUCCUGAUUUUAAAAUAAAGCAACUGCACCAGUCUGGCACUAAUGCCUAACAGUAAAGCCUGACUUUUUGUCUGUUUUUUUGAUUGCCAUCUGCUUUCGGUGCACAGUCUAGCCCAGUCUGAACCCUCUUCAGCCAACUC
This is a long non-coding RNA of Scylla paramamosain (green mud crab), 1571 nucleotides long. RefSeq lists it as uncharacterized. The transcript has 3 exons. Lineage: Eukaryota; Metazoa; Arthropoda; Malacostraca; Decapoda; Portunidae. The record is from RefSeq and is a predicted model, not a curated record.